This 68-nucleotide transfer RNA is filed under the name Huananpotamon lichuanense. RNAcentral's name for it is "tRNA-Asn". The record is from RNAcentral. Lineage: Eukaryota; Metazoa; Arthropoda; Malacostraca; Decapoda; Potamidae.
UUGAUAGAAGCCAAAUAUAGAGGCAUAUCACUGUUAAUGAUACAAUUGAAAUACGACUUCCUAUCAAU